UACUUAUCCAUCCACGUGAAACUGUCAAAAUUUUCAAAAUCAUCAACUAGCAGAGCGUCAAAAUUGCAGAAAAGGGACACAAGGAAGAAGAAGAUACAAUCGAGCUCGGUAGCACAAAAUGAUGGAGCAGGACUGGGGGCUAGAAAUCCUGUUGGGAGCAGAGGGUGCAGGGAUGUCAAAGGCUUUGAUUCUGACUGGUGUUCUACUAGUUAAUGUAGCAAAUUCUGAAUCUUGACUUCUUUCCCAGGGUCCAUCCAUGGAUUUGACAGGAAUAGCUUGGAUGUGGGCUGGGGUUUUCAGAAUCAACAACCCUGUAGCAGAAAAUGGGAGCGGGCGGGUAAGAAAGUUUCCCACUUUCAAUUGGUGCACAAUUGCAAGGAAGAUUGUACACCUCCAUUCUUGCUCAUCAUGUUUCAGACCAUUGGGGCUGCACUUUGACUAAGUAGAAUAGAACACAUCUCUCGCCCUUCCUCCCUCAUGUAUACCACUGGUCAGUUAAAUAAUACAAGCAGCCUCAAGAAGAUGAUUUUGCUAGUUAUGAUUCAUAACUUCCAUUCCAGGAUCACCAGGAUCUAGCAUCCAGAGAAAAUAAAAAAUAAAAAAUAAAAAAGGUAAGCUGCA
This 621-nucleotide long non-coding RNA is filed under the name Selaginella moellendorffii. RNAcentral's name for it is "long non-coding RNA (SMOE_LNC000342)". The record is from RNAcentral. Lineage: Eukaryota; Viridiplantae; Streptophyta; Lycopodiopsida; Selaginellales; Selaginellaceae.